This 433-nucleotide ribosomal RNA is filed under the name uncultured bacterium. RNAcentral describes it as "partial 16S ribosomal RNA". It matches the Rfam family "Bacterial small subunit ribosomal RNA", at positions 29 to 507 of the family's 1533-position model. The record is from RNAcentral.
AACGAACGCUGGCGGCAUGCCUAACACAUGCAAGUCGAACGAGACCUUCGGUUCUAGUGGCGCACGGGUGCGUAACGCGUGGGAACCUGCCCUUAGGUUCGGAAUAACUCCCCGAAAGGGGUGCUAAUACCGGAUAAUGUCUUCGGACCAAAGAUUUAUCGCCUUUGGAUGGGCCGGCGUUGGAUUAGCUAGUUGGUAGGGUAAAAGCCUACCAAGGCGACGAUCCAUAGCUGGUCUGAGAGGAUGAUCAGCCACACUGGGACUGAGACACGGCCCAGACUCCUACGGGAGGCAGCAGUGGGGAAUAUUGGACAAUGGGCGAAAGCCUGAUACAGCAAUGCCGCGUGAGUGAUGAAGGCCUUAGGGUUGUAAAGCUCUUUUAACCGGGAUGAUAAUGACAGUACCGGGAGAAUAAGCGCCGGCUAACUCCGUG